GUAUCACUGAAUCGGGGAAGGUUGAGAACCUUCGAGCAAGGUUCGAGUUGAGCGCAGCGAAACAACGUCGCCUGCGACGGCCCGAAGGGUGAGGAACGAAGUGACGAAUAAUCCUUCCCCCACCACCA
Molecule: small RNA, 128 nt
Filed under: Hafnia paralvei
Lineage: Bacteria; Pseudomonadati; Pseudomonadota; Gammaproteobacteria; Enterobacterales; Hafniaceae
Also listed under: 1 other name
Description: RtT sRNA
Rfam family: RtT RNA
About the family: This family represents a bacterial cis-regulatory element known as RtT RNA. The exact function of RtT is unknown although it is thought that it may be involved in changing the cellular response in relation to amino acid starvation.
Source: RNAcentral